RNAcentral lists this unclassified non-coding RNA (249 nucleotides) under Hevea brasiliensis (rubber tree). Lineage: Eukaryota; Viridiplantae; Streptophyta; Magnoliopsida; Malpighiales; Euphorbiaceae. The record is from RNAcentral.
GCACAUUUUGGUGUUGGUGCGGGGGCCGCUCUGCAUCCUGCAGCAGCUUUCCCUGCUGAUGCAUAUGGGAUUUCUGAUCGCCCUAAGAAGGCUGCUGUUCCAAACUGGCUUAGAGAGGAAAUAAUAAAGAAGAAAGCUGUCAUUACAACUUCAACUGCAGAGCUUCCAAAGGAGGAUUCUCAAUCUAUUGAAGAUGAAGGUGUCAAUAAAUCUUAUCGGAAAGGUGACCAGGCUGAUAGCAAAAGCAUU